UUCUUCAGACCAGAGUCUUCUCAUCUGCAUGUGUUAAGGAUUAAAACAUACUUUGUCAGGCAAAGCUACAAUGAAGUGUCAUUAAUACUUCAAUUUCAAUUUCAAUUUCUGGUUUACAUAACCCAAGAACUUUAAAAAUAAAGAUAAAAAAAAGGAAAAACUAAGUUCUGAGGAAUAUUAUUUGAGAAAAAGGAAUCAUUGUAAGAUACAUUGACUAGUAAGUAAGGGACCAUUAAUUUGCCUGCACUGUGGUGCCAAAUUUUAGGGGGGAAAAUUAUCUGAACUUUGUUGUCAAAUAUAUUUUCAUAAAAAGAACUUCAGAUUUCAACAAGAGAUAUAACCAUGCAUUCAAAAUUUAGCACAAGCAACACAACAUCAUAAGCAAACUUUUCAAUCAUGUUAAACUUUUAUUCGUACAGAUUACAGGAGUGCCAGAGAACCUACUUCAG
This 449-nucleotide unclassified non-coding RNA is filed under the name Hevea brasiliensis (rubber tree). The record is from RNAcentral. Lineage: Eukaryota; Viridiplantae; Streptophyta; Magnoliopsida; Malpighiales; Euphorbiaceae.